GACGUAGGGGGCGAGCGUUGUCCGGAUUCAUUGGGCGUAAAGCGCACGUAGGCGGUUCGGAAAGUCGGAUGUGAAAACCCGGAGCUCAACUCCGGGCCUGCAUCCGAUACUCCCGGACUAGAGGUAGGUAGGGGAGAUCGGAAUUCCUGGUGUAGCGGUGAAAUGCGCAGAUAUCGGGAAGAACACCCGUGGCGAAGGCGGUUCUCUGGGACGGUACUGACGCUGAGACGCGAAAGCGUGGGGAGCGAACAGG
This 253-nucleotide ribosomal RNA is filed under the name uncultured bacterium. RNAcentral describes it as "partial 16S ribosomal RNA". It matches the Rfam family "Bacterial small subunit ribosomal RNA", at positions 524 to 776 of the family's 1533-position model. The record is from RNAcentral.